GACAGAGGGGGCAAGCGUUGCUCGGAAUUACUGGGCGUAAAGGGCGCGUAGGCGGGAUGGCAAGUCGGUCGUGAAAUCCCUCGGCUCAACUGAGGAUCGUCGAUCGAUACUGCCGUUCUUGAGGAUUGCAGAGGAGACUGGAAUUCCCGGUGUAGCGGUGAAAUGUGUAGAGAUCGGGAGGAACACCGGUGGCGAAGGCGGGUCUCUGGGCAAUUCCUGACGCUGAGGCGCGAAGGCGUGGGGAGCAAACCGG
RNAcentral lists this ribosomal RNA (253 nucleotides) under uncultured bacterium. Its description in RNAcentral is "partial 16S ribosomal RNA". It matches the Rfam family "Bacterial small subunit ribosomal RNA", at positions 524 to 776 of the family's 1533-position model. The record is from RNAcentral.